RNAcentral lists this ribosomal RNA (546 nucleotides) under uncultured Glomeromycotina. RNAcentral describes it as "SSU rRNA". It matches the Rfam family "Eukaryotic small subunit ribosomal RNA", at positions 548 to 1097 of the family's 1831-position model. The record is from RNAcentral. Lineage: Eukaryota; Fungi; Glomeromycota.
UUGGAGGGCAAGUCUGGUGCCAGCAGCCGCGGUAAUUCCAGCUCCAAUAGCGUAUAUUAAAGUUGUUGCAGUUAAAAAGCUCGUAGUUGAAUUUCGGGAUUAGUGCGCCGGUCGUGCCUUCGGUAUGUACUGGUGUUACUGGUUCCUACCUUCUGACGAACCGUCAUGUCAUUAAUUUGGUGUGGCGGGGAAUCAGGACUGUUACUUUGAAAAAAUUAGAGUGUUUAAAGCAGGCUCGCGCUUGAAUACAUUAGCAUGGAAUAAUGAAAUAGGACGUUCGAUCCUAUUUUGUUGGUUUCUAGGAUUGACGUAAUGAUUAAUAGGGAUAGUUGGGGGCAUUAGUAUUCAAUUGUCAGAGGUGAAAUUCUUGGAUUUAUUGAAGACUAACUACUGCGAAAGCAUUUGCCAAGGAUGUUUUCAUUAAUCAAGAACGAAAGUUAGGGGAUCGAAGACGAUCAGAUACCGUCGUAGUCUUAACCAUAAACUAUGCCGACUAGGGAUCAGAUGAUGUUAUUUUUAAUGACUCAUUCGGCGCCUUACGGGAAA